GUGAAGGACAUGCUUCCUCUGGUCCCCACCCCAAGCUCUACCCAGGAAGAUUUGGGGGAAAGGACCUCAGGCGGGUCCUCCUCUCCAGGACCCCUCCCUCCUGGCCUCCACUCAAAUUCUUUACUUGGCUGCUUUCCUGGGAAGAGGGGAGAAAAAGAGAAGGAAAAGAAAAGAGGAAAUAGAGGGGAAACCCGGAGUGGCGAAGAAUGUAUCCGUCUGUGGUUUGGCAGCAGAAAAAGGUAUGGGGGCGUCCUCACUCCCCCACGCAGGCCUAGGGCCCCUGGAAAUCCCCACAAGGGCUUCUCCCAAGGCAGGCAGGGAAGGCAUCUUCCCACCACCCAUCCCUCACCACUUGGGGGGCCAGUUUAACCAAACUCUGCACAAAGAUAAAAUUGAGAUGCAGAUUCCUUCCCUUUGCUCUGAAUACAUCAGAUUGGAUACGGAUUUUCCUCUUUUCUUCCCAGUUAGACCGACUGGGGCCCAGAGGGAAGGUUGGGACCAGAUGGGGGAGGGGUAGAAGAGGCUCAGAAAGCUCCGGAACCUGGAGGGUGAGGGUGUGGGGAUGCCUUUUCCCUGCCCUUUCCCAAGGGCAAGCUCAUUCCUGCCUCUGAAUUCUGGGCCCUGCUAAGGAUGGGGGCUGGGCUUUCCUCUCUUCUGUACAUUCCUAGAAACUUCCAAGUUAUGCAUUUGUCCCAUCAGUUUUUGGAAGUCCUUCCUGCAGUCGCACCCACACCUUUCUGAGUGCAAUUAAACCCAAAGGGACAAGGCGGGGAGGUGGGAGAUAAAAGAAAAAUGUGAUUACAGAAAGUUUAACAAGAGGGGCUCUUACCGGCCAUUCGCAAUUGAAGAAACUGAGACUUUGGAGAGAAUGUCCAGUUUAAGAUUAGAUAGGGAACUAGUGGCAGAGCUGAUACUAAGUAAUAACAACAACCAUGUUAUUAUGUAUUAAGUGGUGCUCUGUGUUGUCUGAAGUAUGUCAUUUUAAUCCACAAGAACCCCAUGGAUUAGGCAGGUACUACUGUCAUCCUCAUUUUGUAGAUGGGGAAACUGAGGCACAAUCCAGUUAAGUAACUUGCAAAAGGUCAAACUGGCCGGGCGUGGCAGCACAUGCUUAUAAUCCCAGCGGCUCAGGAGGCUGAGGCAGGAGGAUCAUGAGUUCAAAACCAGCCUCAGCAAUUUAUCGAAGCUCUAAGCAACUCAGUGAGAUCCUGUCUCAAAAUAAAAUAUAAAAAAGGGCUGGGCAUGUGGCUCAGUGGUUAAGCAGCCCUGGAUACAAUCCUCAGUAUCAAAACAAAAAAAAAAGUCAACUGGUAGAUCUAAACCCAGAGUUGGUCUCAGCAUACCACACAGAACUCCGCCAUUCAGAAAACAGCUUUAGGACACAAAGCCUUGAGAAUGGAGCCUGGGCCACCCCAGGGAUCCUUGCAGGAGAUGAAAUCUCCUGAGCACUCUCUACAGUUACUCUGCACUCAGGACAUGGGGACCAAAGGUCAGAACUGAAAUCCAAGUCCAGAACACACAGGGAGUGUUCCCCUCACUUGGGAAAAGGGACAAGUGUAAAUGUCCUGAGGACAGCUUUGUAGGAGAAGGCGGGCCUGUGCAGGAAGGAGUACCAAAGGUGCAGGGACAGACCUGAUGAGGAAAGGACAUGGCUGAGGGCCACUGCCAGGCCAGGCCUCGCACAGCUGCAGUGUGGCCUGAACCAGGUGAAGAGCGUGAGUGGUUCCUGCCUUGCACAGAUGGGCACCACCAUGGGCACGGCGGUGGGUGCCACCAAGGUGAUAUGAUGAUGAGAAGGGUUUCAUUUCCCGUUUCCCAAAUGUUCUGUAAUAUUUUAUUGUUUUUGCAAGGAAAAGAAAACAAAGGAGACUUGCCUACUUUAAUUACUGGAAUUAAAUGCUGAGGACGUUGCCAAACACACACCCGCUUAUCUAUUCAUUAGAGCGGCCUCCUGCCUCCUCCCCACGGGCAGGCGCUCGCCACGAAAACAUUCUGCUAUCAGAUAUUCCGGGGCUGUGUAAAAUGGAAACUGCCUUUGAAAACAUGCCUACAGCUCAGAAACAGAUGCAAAUCCAGUGACAGGCUUGCCUUUUCCUGAGUUUCCCGGAAGACUCCCUCACUCAACGCGAACCUUCGCAGGGGGGGCCAUUUCUAUUCCCUGUCCUGAGCAACGUCCAGAGAGCUAGUCCUAUCAUCCAAAGAGCUCCAAAAGAGAUGGGUGGUGGCACAACAGUAUGAAUGUCCUUCAUGCCACUGAAGUACCCUUAGCAGUUCAAACGGGUGGAUGGG
Molecule: long non-coding RNA, 2289 nt
Filed under: Marmota monax (woodchuck)
Lineage: Eukaryota; Metazoa; Chordata; Mammalia; Rodentia; Sciuridae
Source: RNAcentral